Pieris rapae (cabbage white) is the source of this 555-nucleotide long non-coding RNA. RefSeq lists it as uncharacterized. Lineage: Eukaryota; Metazoa; Arthropoda; Insecta; Lepidoptera; Pieridae. The record is from RefSeq and is a predicted model, not a curated record. The transcript has 2 exons.
CGGAGUAACCACUAACCCGUGAUGGAAAUAAAAUCUAACACAUCUAACGACGACAUUUCUAAUAUUGAGAUGGCAAUGGCGGCGGCCGCGAUUGAAUACCGGAUGCCGGCACCCAUGGACCUGGAACUGGACUGGGACAAAUUACGGAAACCAGAAAAGCUUCAAUUCUGCUAAACUGCAUUGGACAGGCAGCUCAAGAGUUGUUCUUCAACACAUUCUUAACAGGCGAAGAUGCGAACCCUAAACUCGUUAAAAUGAUUGGGUUUAUUGCAGUUCGAGCAGAUCUCCCCAUAGGCAGAACAACUACGAGGUCCAUGCCUCGAGUUACAUUUUUUACACAAGUAAGAUACAUUAUUAUUUUUAAAUUCAUUGUACUUAGCUUUGUUUUCAUGCUGUUGCCGCUGCUGUGAGUGUCGAUAUGGUUGCCGAGCUUGACUCAAGAGAGGUUAGAGAAUUCGCUAGGGAAUGGGGUUGUAAAUUCACAUUUUCAAGCCCAAGAUAUCCUCAAUCAAAUGGCAUGGCUGAACGUGCUGUUCAAAUAGCUAAAAAAAUGUU